GUGAACGCUGGCGGUAGGCCUAACACAUGCAAGUCGAACGGCAGCACAGUAAGAGCUUGCUCUUACGGGUGGCGAGUGGCGGACGGGUGAGGAAUACAUCGGAUUCUACUUUUUCGUGGGGGAUAACGUAGGGAAACUUACGCUAAUACCGCAUACGACCUACGGGUGAAAGCAGGGGAUCUUCGGACCUUGCGCGAUUGAAUGAGCCGAUGUCGGAUUAGCUAGUUGGCGGGGUAAAGGCCCACCAAGGCGACGAUCCGUAGCUGGUCUGAGAGGAUGAUCAGCCACACUGGAACUGAGACACGGUCCAGACUCCUACGGGAGGCAGCAGUGGGGAAUAUUGGACAAUGGGCGCAAGCCUGAUCCAGCCAUACCGCGUGGGUGAAGAAGGCCUUCGGGUUGUAAAGCCCUUUUGUUGGGAAAGAAAAGCAGCAGGUUAAUACCCCGCUGUUCUGACGGUACCCAAAGAAUAAGCACCGGCUAACUUCGU
Molecule: ribosomal RNA, 490 nt
Filed under: uncultured bacterium
Lineage: Bacteria
Description: partial 16S ribosomal RNA
Rfam family: Bacterial small subunit ribosomal RNA
Source: RNAcentral